RNAcentral lists this ribosomal RNA (253 nucleotides) under uncultured bacterium. RNAcentral's name for it is "partial 16S ribosomal RNA". It matches the Rfam family "Bacterial small subunit ribosomal RNA", at positions 524 to 776 of the family's 1533-position model. The record is from RNAcentral.
CACGUAGGGCGCAAGCGUUGUCCGGAAUUAUUGGGCGUAAAGAGCUCGUAGGCGGUCCGUCACGUCCGCUGUGAAAACCCAGGGCUCAACCCUGGGCUUGCAGUGGAUACGGGCAGACUAGAGGUAGGUAGGGGAGAAUGGAAUUCCCGGUGUAGCGGUGAAAUGCGCAGAUAUCAGGAGGAACACCGGUGGCGAAGGCGGGUCUCUGGGCCGAUACUGACGCUGAGGAGCGAAAGCGUGGGGAGCGAACAGG